This 409-nucleotide ribosomal RNA is filed under the name bacterium. RNAcentral describes it as "partial 16S ribosomal RNA". It matches the Rfam family "Bacterial small subunit ribosomal RNA", at positions 355 to 776 of the family's 1533-position model. The record is from RNAcentral.
UGGGGAAUAUUGCACAAUGGGCGAAAGCCUGAUGCAGCGACGCCGCGUGAGGGAUGACGGCCUUCGGGUUGUAAACCUCUUUCAGCAGGGACGAAGCGCAAGUGACGGUACCUGCAGAAGAAGCACCGGCUAACUACGUGCCAGCAGCCGCGGUAAUACGUAGGGUGCAAGCGUUGUCCGGAAUUACUGGGCGUAAAGAGUUCGUAGGCGGUUUGUCGCGUCGUUUGUGAAAACCAGCAGCUCAACUGCUGGCUUGCAGGCGAUACGGGCAGACUUGAGUACUGCAGGCGAGACUGGAAUUCCUGGUGUAGCGGUGAAAUGCGCAGAUAUCAGGAGGAACACCGGUGGCGAAGGCGGGUCUCUGGGCAGUAACUGACGCUGAGGAACGAAAGCGUGGGUAGCGAACAGG